AAGUGUAAUACAUUACUCUCAGGGCCUUGAACAAGACCCAGUGAACAAUUUUUGGAGACCCUACUCUUCGGAGUAGGGUG
Molecule: small nuclear RNA, 80 nt
Filed under: Caenorhabditis brenneri
Lineage: Eukaryota; Metazoa; Nematoda; Chromadorea; Rhabditida; Rhabditidae
Description: sRNA CBN33810
Rfam family: SmY spliceosomal RNA
Source: Rfam by way of RNAcentral